Molecule: long non-coding RNA, 563 nt
Filed under: Homo sapiens (human)
Lineage: Eukaryota; Metazoa; Chordata; Mammalia; Primates; Hominidae
Description: non-protein coding lnc-ATAD5-9:7
Source: RNAcentral
UUUUUUUUUUUUUUUUCUAAUUUUUGGUUGGUGGCGGCGGUGCUGGGCCAGGGGAAGGAAGGGACACGGAGGCCGCCCUCGCCCCGCCACCUCCUACCAGCUUCCCCCCAGCCCCGGCUCCGGGAGAUGUGCCGGGCGGGGGGCCCGGGUUCGCCGAGCCGCAGGAGAGACACGCUGGGCCGACCCCAGAGCGGCGCUGGACAGAGCCAACACAGAUCUAUAGAUUUCUUUGAACUCGGAAUCUCAUAGCACCAAUAUUUUUGCACAGAACUCUUACUUACAUGUCUCAUCGAAACUCCAGAACAAACAUCAAAAGGAAAACAUUUAAAGUUGAUGAUAUGUUAUCAAAAGUAGAGAAAAUGAAAGGAGAGCAAGAAUCUCAUAGCUUGUCAGCUCAUUUGCAGCUUACAUUUUUGGUUUCUUCCACAAAAAUGAUAAGCCAUCACCAAACUCAGAAAAUGAACAAAAUUCUGUUACCCUGGAAGUCCUGCUUGUGAAAGUUUGCCACAAAAAAAGAAAGGAUGUAUGUUGUCCAAUAAGGCAAGUUCCCACAGGUAAAAAGC